Molecule: ribosomal RNA, 2289 nt
Filed under: gut metagenome
Description: bacterial LSU rRNA
Rfam family: Bacterial large subunit ribosomal RNA
Source: RNAcentral
ACAAGUAUACAAGAGCAUCGGGUGGAUGCCUUGGCGUCGGAAGGCGAAGAAAGACGUGGUAAGCUGCGAUAAGCCUCGGGGAGAAGCUAAACAUUCUGCGAUCCGGGGAUGUCUGAAUGGGGAAACCCGGCGGGAGUCAUGUCCCGUCAUCCGUAAGUGAAUACAUAGCUUGCAGGAAGCCAACUCAGGGAAGUGAAACAUCUCAGUACCUGAAGGAAAGGAAAUCAAACGAGACUCCCUCAGUAGCGGCGAGCGAAGGGGGAAGAGCCUAAACCGGUUGGAUUCGUCCAGCCGGGGUUGUAGGGCCGGCAUACGUGAUUCAUGAGUAGGCAGGGGAAGGAAGCUGGAAAGCUUUGCCAAAGCGGGUGAUAGCCCCGUACCCGAACCUGAAAGUGACACAGCCGGUACCUGAGUACCGCGGGGCACGUGAAACCCCGUGGGAAUCUGGGAGGACCAUCUUCCAAGGCUAAGUACUAACCGACGACCGAUAGUGCACCAGUACCGUGAGGGAAAGGUGAAAAGAACCCCUGUCAGGGGAGUGAAAUAGAAUCUGAAACCUGAUGCUUACAAGCUGUGGGAGCCGUGCUUGCAUGGUGACCACGUGCCUUUUGCAUAAUGAGUCAGCGAGUUAAUCUGUACUGCGAGGUUAAGCGUAAGUGGAGCCGUAGCGAAAGCGAGUCUGAUAAGGGCGAUAGUAGUGCGGAUUAGACCCGAAACCGGGUGAUCUAUCCAUGAGCAGGUUGAAGCACGGGUAAAACCUUGUGGAGGACCGAACCCAUACCGGCUGAAAACGGUUGGGAUGACUUGUGGAUAGGGGUGAAAGGCCAAUCAAACCCGGUGAUAGCUGGUUCUCCCCGAAAUAUAUUGAGGUAUAGCCUCGUGGAUUGUCUACCGGAGGUAAAGCACUGACAGAGCUAGGGGUCCUACCAGAUUACCAAACUCUUUCAAACUCAGAAUGCCGGUCAGAUGUACCACGGGAGUCAGACAGUGGGUGCUAAGGUCCAUUGUCGAGAGGGUAAGAGCCCAGAUCAACAGCUAAGGCCUCCAAAUGCAUGCUCAGUGGUUAAGGUGGUGACGUUGUAGAGACACCCAGGACGUUGGCUUAGAAGCAGCCAUCGUUUAAAGAAAGCGUAAUAGCUCACUGGUCUAAUGACGUUGCGCCGAAAAUGUAACGGGGCUAAGCAUGCUGCCGAAGCUUUGAAUUCCGCGUAUGCGGUCUGGUAGGGGAGCGUUCUUCAUGGGCUGAAGGUGUGUUGUAAAGCAUGCUGGACUGUGGAGAAGUGAUUAUGCUGACAUGAGUAACGAUAAAACGGGUGAAAAACCCGUUCGCCGUAAACCCAAGGUUUCCUGGGUAAAGGUAAUCUUCCCAGGGUUAGUCGGCCCCUAAGGCAAGGCUGAAAGGCGUAGCUGAUGGGAAACGUGUUAAUAUUCACGUACUUGUGUGUUCGCGCGAAGGAGGGACGCAGGAAGAUAGGCGAUCCGGGUGUUGGAUUACCCGGUGCAAGCGAGUAGGCAUGGGAAGCAGGCAAAUCCGUUUCCCUGUAUGCUGAGACGCGAGUCCGUGGGCGUAAGCCCUGAAGUCGCUGAGUCUAUGCUGCCAAGAAAAGCUUCUAAGUUUAGAACACGCAAACCGUACCGGAAACCAACUCAGGUGGGUGGGAUGAAUAAUCCAAGGCGCUCGAGAGAACUCUGGCCAAGGAACUCGGCAAAAUAACCCCGUACCUUCGGAAGAAGGGGUGCUCCUUUAGGUGAAGCGAUUCACUUGUUGAGCCUGAGGGAGCCGCAGAGAAAUGGUGGUGGCGACUGUUUACUAAAAACAUAGGUCUGUGCGAAGUCGUAAAGACGACGUAUACGGACUGACGCCUGCCCGGUGCCGGAAGGUUAAAAGGAGGGGUCAGCGCAAGCGAAGCUCCGAAUUGAAGCCCCGGUAAACGGCGGCCGUAACUAUAACGGUCCUAAGGUAGCGAAAUUCCUUGUCGGGUAAGUUCCGACCUGCACGAAUGGCGUAACGAUCUCCACACUGUCUCGGCCAGAGACUCGGUGAAAUUGAAGUCGCGGUGAAAAUGCCGUGUACCCGCAGAAAGACGGAAAGACCCUGUGCACCUUUACUAUAGCUUGACAUUGGGAUUUGAACCUGCAUGUGUAGGAUAGGUGGGAGGCUGUGAACUCUGUACGCUAGUAUGGAGGGAGCCAUUGUUGAAAUACCACCCUUGUUUUUUCAGGUCCCUAACCCUCAGCCGUAAGCCGGCGAGGGAACAGUGUCUGGUGGGUAGUUUGACUGGGGCGGUC